Molecule: unclassified non-coding RNA, 431 nt
Filed under: soil metagenome
Description: partial contains 5.8S ribosomal RNA, internal transcribed spacer 2, and large subunit ribosomal RNA
Rfam family: 5.8S ribosomal RNA (bases 1-120)
Source: RNAcentral
GAUGAAGAACGUAGUGAAAUGCGAUACGUAAUGUGAAUUGCAGAAUUCAGUGAAUCAUCGAAUCUUUGAACGCAUAUUGCGCUCUCUGGUAUUCCGGAGAGCAUGCUUGUUUGAGUAUCAGUAAACACCUCAACUCCCCUUUCUUUUUUGAAAUGGGAGCUGGACUUGAGUGAUCCCAACGCUUUUCUCACCGAAAAGUGGCGGGUUACUUGAAAUGCAGGUGCAGCUGGACUUUUCUCUGAGCUAAAAGCAUAUCUAUUUAGUCUGCCUAAAAACAGAUUAUUACCUUUGCUGCAGCUAACAUAAAGGAGAUUAGUUCUUGUGCUGACUGAUGCAGGAUUCACAGAGACAGCUUCGGCUGGCCUUUGUAAACUCGAUCUCAAAACAAGUAAGACUACCCGCUGAACUUAAGCAUAUCAAUAAGCGGAGGA